GCUGGGCGCAGUGGUACACGCCUGUCAUCCCAGCAGCUUGGGAGGCUGAGGCAGGAGGAUCGUGAGUUCAAAGCCAGCCUCAGCAAAAGCAAGGCACUAAGCAACUCAGUGAGACCCUGUCUCUA
This 125-nucleotide small RNA is filed under the name Marmota monax (woodchuck). The record is from RNAcentral. Lineage: Eukaryota; Metazoa; Chordata; Mammalia; Rodentia; Sciuridae.